GAUCCCCACUGUUCUCCAACCAAAUAAUCUUUCAAUAACAUAUUUUCUUAAAUAGAUCGUUAUAUAUGUCAUCACCUCACUUGUGAUUGCUGCAUUAAUUAGGGCAAAAACCUUACAGAAGCAAAUGUCUCCACAUCUAUCCUUGAUAAGGUGAUGUUUAAUAAAUAUCCACCUGACAAAGAGGAACUUUUGGAGCCAUUUGAAGCUCUUAGGGACUUAAGCAUUUAUAACAUGUAGUACACUUGGAUGAAUCAUUGUCAGUUAUGAAACAUAAGGAUUUGGUUAUGCAUGGCUACGUUUGAGUAGAUUUGGUCCAUACCAGCUAUUUUCCAUUCAUUCUAACCUAUGAAAUGGGAACCAAGUCACAAGAGUGAGUUCAGGCUUUUUAACAAUAAACUUUCUGACAUUUCCACCACUUCUGAAAGUGCCUGCACGUGUUCCUUGUAAGAAGUUUGAAAAGUUAUAAAUAGGCCAAGUGUGUCUUUUUUUUUUUUUUUGGUCUUUUUGCCAUUUCCUGGGCCACUCCUGUGGCAUAUGGAGGUUCCUAGGCUAGGGGUUGAAUCAGAGCUGUAGCCACCAGCCCACGCCAGAGCCAUAGCAACCUACACCACAGCUCACAGCAACGCCAGAUCCUUAGCCCACUGAGCAAGGCCAGGGACCGAACCCGCAACCUCAUGGUUCCUAGUCGGAUUUGUUAACCACUGAGCCACGAUGGGAACUCCGCCAAGUGCGUCUUGAUCCAUUCUUCUGAGCAUGCCUCUUAUGAUGCUAGGAAGGUCUAACUCUGAAUUAUGUUUGAUAUUCAGGGGAGAACAAUCUGGCAGUGAGCUGACUUCUACCAAAGCAACCUGGAUCAGGAAGCUGGUGGAGGAGAGCCUGGAACCCCUUUGGUGAGGGGCCUAAGACCUCAUGACAAGGUGUGUAAAUGGGGGAGCCAGAUGAAAGCCAGGUCCUUUGACUCCUAAGCAUGAACUUCACCCAGGGCUCAUAUUUAGAAGAUUGACCAUCCAAGCACCGCAAGGUAAGAGCAAUCGUGACAGAACGACCCUGGAGCUGGGUCCCCCAGACGGGCCCUGAAGGUCUGCACGUCACUGCUUGACCACCCCGC
RNAcentral lists this long non-coding RNA (1108 nucleotides) under Sus scrofa (pig). RNAcentral describes it as "lncRNA (ENSSSCG00070019112.1)". Lineage: Eukaryota; Metazoa; Chordata; Mammalia; Artiodactyla; Suidae. The record is from RNAcentral.